UACGAAGGGGACUAGCGUUGUUCGGAAUCACUGGGCGUAAAGCGCACGUAGGCGGAUAUGUCAGUCAGGGGUGAAAUCCCGGGGCUCAACCUCGGAACUGCCUUUGAUACAGCAUGUCUUGAGUCCGAUAGAGGUGGGUGGAAUUCCUAGUGUAGAGGUGAAAAUUCGUAGAUAUUAGGAAGAACACCGGUGGCGAAGGCGGCCCACUGGAUCGGUACUGACGCUGAGGUGCGAAAGCGUGGGGAGCAAACAGG
This 254-nucleotide ribosomal RNA is filed under the name uncultured bacterium. Its description in RNAcentral is "partial 16S ribosomal RNA". It matches the Rfam family "Bacterial small subunit ribosomal RNA", at positions 524 to 776 of the family's 1533-position model. The record is from RNAcentral.